RNAcentral lists this ribosomal RNA (501 nucleotides) under uncultured bacterium. RNAcentral describes it as "partial 16S ribosomal RNA". It matches the Rfam family "Bacterial small subunit ribosomal RNA", at positions 29 to 523 of the family's 1533-position model. The record is from RNAcentral.
AUUGAACGCUGGCGGCAUGCCUUACACAUGCAAGUCGAACGGCAGCACGGGUGCUUGCACCUGGUGGCGAGUGGAGAACGGGUGAGUAAUACAUCGGAACGUACCUUAUCGUGGGGGAUAACGCAGCGAAAGCUGUGCUAAUACCGCAUAAGCCCUGAGGGGGAAAGCGGGGGAUCGAAAGACCUCGCGCGAUUAGAGCGGCCUAUGCCUGAUUAGCCGGUUGGUGGGGUAAAAGCCCACCAAGGCGACGACCAGUAGCUGGUCUGAGAGGACGAUCAGCCACACUGGGACUGGGACACGGCCCAGACUCCUACGGGAGGCAGCAGUGGGGAAUUUUGGACAAUGGGGGCAACCCUGAUCCAGCAAUGCCGCGUGAGUGAAGAAGGCCUUCGGGUUGUAAAGCUCUUUUGUCAGGGAAGAAACACCGGCUCUAACACAGUCCGGGAAUGACGGUACCUGAAGAAUAAGCACCGGCUAACUACGUGCCAGCCGCCGCGGUAA